Molecule: ribosomal RNA, 955 nt
Filed under: uncultured metazoan
Lineage: Eukaryota; Metazoa
Description: partial 18S ribosomal RNA
Source: RNAcentral
GUAAUCAAUGCAAGCUGAUGACUUGCACUUACUGGGAAUUCCUCGUUCAUGGAGAAUAAUUACAAUCCCCAAUCCCAAGCACGAAAAGGGUUCACUCGGUUUCCCGCUCCUUUCGGAGUAGGAUGCACAUACACGCUGAUCUCUUCAGUGUAGCGCGCGUGCGGCCCCGGACAUCUAAGGGCAUCACAGACCUGUUAUUGCUCUUUCUCAUACGGCUGAAACGCCGUCUGUCCCUCUAGGAAGCGCUGAGGCAGCACGAAGGAUGCCUCAGUCUAAUUAGUAGGCUAGAGUCUCGUUCGUUAUCGGAAUUAACCAGACAAAUCACUCCACCAACUAAGAACGGCCAUGCACCACCACCCACUGAAUCAAGAAAGGGCUUCAACCUGUCAAUCCUCACAGUGUCCGGGCCGGGUGAGUUUCCCCGUGUUGAGUCAAAUUAAGCCGCAGGCUCCACUCCUGGUGGUGCCCUUCCGUCAAUUCCUUUAAGUUUCAGCUUUGCAACCAUACUUCCCCUGGAACCGAAAGACUUUGGUUUCCCGGAAGCCGCCAGCCGUGUCAUCAAGAGAACACAGGCUGAUUGCUGGUUGGCAUCGUUUAUGGUUAGAACUAGGGCGGUAUCUGAUCGCCUUCGAACCUCUAACUUUCGUUCUUGAUUAAUGAAAACAUUCUUGGCAAAUGCUUUCGCUUUAGUUAGUCUUGCGACGGUCCAAGAAUUUCACCUCUAGCGUCGCAAUACUAAUGCCCCCGUCUGUCCCUCUUAAUCAUUACCUUGGUUCCGAAGACCAACAAAAUAGAACCAAAGUCCUAUUUCAUUAUUCCAUGCAACAUUAUUCGAUCGUGUAAAGACCGCUUUGAGCACUCUAAUUUUUUCAAAGUAAACGUACCGAUCACUAGUGACACUCGGUGAAGAGCACCACUAGACGAUAAACGGUAGUGUGUCCAGUUACGAUAGUAA